Molecule: long non-coding RNA, 863 nt
Organism: Cryptomeria japonica (Japanese cedar)
Lineage: Eukaryota; Viridiplantae; Streptophyta; Pinopsida; Cupressales; Cupressaceae
Exons: 3
Source: RefSeq, a predicted model, not a curated record
UGAGAAAAAACUAAAGUGGAGCAAAAAGCAAGAAUUGCUUUAUGAAUUAUUGCAUUCCAUGCAGAUGGGCUCUACAGUUUUACUUAUCUCCAGUUAUUUUUAACAUGCAGAUUGUUUUUCUAUUACUCAGAUCAGUCAUUUUGUAAUCAUUCUCUUUACAAGGAAUAGUAAUCAUUCUCUUGCUCUGCAAUUUGCUAUUUUAUGACAUAAAUUUCAGAGAAAACGGGGCACAAAUAGUAAUCAUGGCUUCUUGCUUCACAUAAAGAAAAUGCUGCAUGUCUGUCUGUGAAGGAAGAGGCCAUGAUCACUAUCUGUGCCAUGCUUUCACAUUCUGUUUGCUUCGGAUGAUGAUGAUGAUGGUGAUUGUUGAAGAAGGUGAUGAAUUGCUUGAUGGGGUGAUCAAGGUCCUCCAACAAGAUGCUCUUCCUCAAAUCGAAAAUGUUGAUCCUUUUUUUCAAAUGGAAAUGGAUCAAACGUUUGGAUCAUCUCAUCUUGCCGGAGUUUCAAUGGAGUUCUCAGUACGAAUGCAAGAUCAAAGGGAUUCAAGGAGAGCAGCAACAUUACGAAGACUAUUUUCAGGGAAUGAAAUAAUCAAGAAAUCCACAACGGAAUUCCCCAUAAUCAAUAUUUAGUAUGAUCUGAAGACGGGGAGGAGUUUGCAGAGAAUCUCAGCAAUAUUGAUGAAUGCAAGAUCAAAGUAUCAAUAUGUUGGACUCUUGCUGGAAGAUGUAAGCACUCCAUAGAUGGUGUUGCACUUCUUGCCUUCCGAAGAUCUCAGCAAUAUUCCACAGAUGAAUCCCUCAAUAAAUUGUAUAUUCUUUUUCACUAAAAAGCAAGACAAAUGACAGUAUAUUUAUAUUGAA